RNAcentral lists this ribosomal RNA (497 nucleotides) under uncultured bacterium. RNAcentral describes it as "partial 16S ribosomal RNA". It matches the Rfam family "Bacterial small subunit ribosomal RNA", at positions 28 to 507 of the family's 1533-position model. The record is from RNAcentral.
GAUGAACGCUGGCGGCGUGCCUAAUACAUGCAAGUCGAGCGAACAGAUGAGGAGCUUGCUCCUCUGACGUUAGCGGCGGACGGGUGAGUAACACGUGGAUAACCUACCUAUAAGACUAGGAUAACUUCGGGAAACCGGAGCUAAUACCGGAUAAUAUAUUGAACCGCAUGGUUCAAUAGUGAAAGACGGUUUUGCUGUCACUUAUAGAUGGAUCCGCGCCGCAUUAGCUAGUUGGUAAGGUAACGGCUUACCAAGGCAACGAUGCGUAGCCGACCUGAGAGGGUGAUCGGCCACACUAGAACUGAGACACGGUCCAGACUCCUACGGGAGGCAGCAGUAGGGAAUCUUCCGCAAUGGGCGAAAGCCUGACGGAGCAACGCCGCGUGAGUGAUGAAGGUCUUCGGAUCGUAAAACUCUGUUAUUAGGGAAGAACAAAUGUGUAAGUAACUAUGCACGUCUUGACGGUACCUAAUCAGAAAGCCACGGCUAACUACGUG